This is a long non-coding RNA of Bactrocera latifrons, 735 nucleotides long. RefSeq lists it as uncharacterized. NCBI's taxonomy places the organism in Eukaryota, Metazoa, Arthropoda, Insecta, Diptera, Tephritidae. The transcript is spliced from 3 exons. The record is from RefSeq and is a predicted model, not a curated record.
UAAGUUUACGCAAAUACAACUCUGAGCGAUAUGCAUUUGCUUUGCUAAAACUGAUYAGCUGCUUUCUAUUUACAUCAGUUUGCUUUUGUGUUAUGGUUGAAUUUGUGUUUAAAUUAGAAUUUCUUUCAAUUUACUUUUUCGAGGGUUUUUGGAUUAAUGUUAUAGAGGCAAAAGGAAAGCGGGUGCGUUCCAACCCAACAAGAAAGUGGCUAUGAUUUGCAAAAGUGAAAAACAUUGCAGUGCACUGGAAGGUGACAAGGAAUGUUCGGUAUAUGCGUAUAACAUAUAACAAAGUAGUUGCAUGUUAGGGCUCGACGGCUGCAGGGAGUAUGGAAGGCGAAACUAUAAAGUGUAAGAUUUUUCCAAACGUUCAUUUUCAUUUGGUCAAAACAGAAACUUCUCUUUUAACCGCUAUAUUGCUUUAAAUACACGCCUAUUUAUAUUUUGAAUAGUCACAUACACUCACACCAAAAGGAUGCGACCUUUCGUAUAUAAACAAUCCAUGCCCGGAAGAUCUCAAAAUAAAUAGCACUAUUUUUAAUUGUAAAUCUAAAGGAAGUUGUGCUCCACUAGAAUUUGUGUUAAAUACACUGUCGUUCUUUAUAUAAUUUAAUAUGYGGMGAAAUUCGCCGAGCYAAGUCGAUGAACACGAACCAUUUCAUUGAAGCGGCUGUCAUAAAUGUUCCUAAGUACAUUAYGUCGCCAUUAUCUUAAAAUUUUCACUUCUCCUUGACA